This 73-nucleotide transfer RNA is filed under the name Marmota monax (woodchuck). RNAcentral's name for it is "tRNA.Ala". It matches the Rfam family "tRNA". Rfam says of the family: Transfer RNA (tRNA) molecules are approximately 80 nucleotides in length. Their secondary structure includes four short double-helical elements and three loops (D, anti-codon, and T loops). Further hydrogen bonds mediate the characteristic L-shaped molecular structure. tRNAs have two regions of fundamental functional importance: the anti-codon, which is responsible for specific mRNA codon recognition, and the 3' end, to which the tRNAs corresponding amino acid is attached (by aminoacyl-tRNA synthetases). tRNAs cope with the degeneracy of the genetic code in two manners: having more than one tRNA (with a specific anti-codon) for a particular amino acid; and 'wobble' base-pairing, i.e. permitting non-standard base-pairing at the 3rd anti-codon position. The record is from RNAcentral. Lineage: Eukaryota; Metazoa; Chordata; Mammalia; Rodentia; Sciuridae.
UGGGGUUGUGGCUCAGUGGCAGAGCACUUGCCUAGCAUGUGUGAGGCACUGGGUUCAAUCCUCAGCACCACAA